RNAcentral lists this ribosomal RNA (363 nucleotides) under Pugettia quadridens. Its description in RNAcentral is "partial small subunit ribosomal RNA". The record is from RNAcentral. Lineage: Eukaryota; Metazoa; Arthropoda; Malacostraca; Decapoda; Epialtidae.
UAUUAUACUAAAAGUUAAUAAAAACUAAAAUAUUAUAAGAUAUAACCUUUAAAUUUAAAGAAUUUGGCGGUAAUUUAGUCUUCCCAGAGGAACCUGUUUUUUAAUCGAUAAACCACGAAAAAUCUUACUUAUUACUUAUAAACAUAAAAGUUUGUAUACCGUCAUUAUCAGAUAAUAUUUAGAGGUAUAUUAUUAAAUCUUAGAAAUUAAAAUAAAUUAGAUCAAGGUGCAGCUAAUGUAUAAGUUAAAAUGGGUUACAAUUAAGUUUAUAUAAAUAUGAAAUAAAAUAUGAAAUAAUUUUAGGAAGGAGGAUUUGGUUGUAAUAGGGAUUAAUAAAACAAAAAGAUAUAAGCUCUAAAUUAU